UACGAAGGGGGCUAGCGUUGCUCGGAAUUACUGGGCGUAAAGGGCGCGUAGGCGGGCGUUUAAGUCAGAGGUUAAAUCCCAGGGCUCAACCCUGGAACUGCCUUUGAUACUGGACGCCUAGAGUGUGGGAGAGGUGAGUGGAACUCCGAGUGUAGAGGUGAAAUUCGUAGAUAUUCGGAAGAACACCAGUGGCGAAGGCGACUCACUGGCCCAUUACUGACGCUGAGGCGCGAAAGCGUGGGGAGCAAACAGG
RNAcentral lists this ribosomal RNA (253 nucleotides) under uncultured bacterium. RNAcentral's name for it is "partial 16S ribosomal RNA". It matches the Rfam family "Bacterial small subunit ribosomal RNA", at positions 524 to 776 of the family's 1533-position model. The record is from RNAcentral.